Neopelma chrysocephalum (saffron-crested tyrant-manakin) is the source of this 1687-nucleotide long non-coding RNA. RefSeq lists it as uncharacterized. The record is from RefSeq and is a predicted model, not a curated record. The transcript has 2 exons. NCBI's taxonomy places the organism in Eukaryota, Metazoa, Chordata, Aves, Passeriformes, Pipridae.
AGGGGCCGAGCGGCGCCAAGUCUCGCGAGAUCUCCAGCAAUGGCUGACCGUGCGGCCCUGAGAGAGAGCAGCGAGAAGGAGCCUCCGAACUUGCCCUGCGCCCUCCGUAUCCCCUCACAGUCCCCCUACCCCUCGUAACCACACCAGGGAGGUGUCUCCCAGCGCCCUCAGUGAGGCUCAGACCCCCGUCACACCCUCCGGUGCUCAAGUAGCUCUGCCCGCCUUGCAGGUGUAGGAGUUCCUUUAAGGCAGCACCAGAACAGCGGGAAAGGCAGAAAGGCAGCGAAAAUCCUCAAAAACCGCUUGCUGAGGCCGGGAUUUGUAUGCACAAACCUCCAACAAAGGCGCCAGGAUGUAAUCGGGAGGGAAGAUAAUUCUAGGAAGAGUUUCACAGCUCAUGAACACCCAGUGCCUGUAAACCUGUGGGUUUUUUUGCAUCAGAGGGGGCAAAGUGACCACGAGUGAGAAGGUGAGGGCCAGGGAGGUGCUGCAGGACUCACCUCCUCCCUGGCAAUGGUCAUGUUGUCCUGCACAUUCCCAAAGACCGUGGGCUGGAUGAAGUAGCCCCUGUCGGCAGCAGCGUUGCCACCACACAGCAGUUUGGCUCCCUCACGCUUCCCAGUGCUGAUGUAACCCAGGAUCUUCUUGAACUGCUCUUCAUCCACCUGUGAGCCAUGAGGACAUACAUCAGCUCCACCUCCACCGGGGGGAAAGUAGAUUCCGCUCCCACCUGCUGUGCUCCAGCAGUUCCCAAUCUCAGCAGAGUGCCCAGCCAGCUUCAAAGGGAGCGUUUGUAAAUGCCAGCGUCAAGUGGAGGUUAUGGAAUCAUCAGAAUGGUUGAUUAACCUUUCCCCCCUGCACAAGCAAGGAGAUCAUGGGACAGUUCAAAGGAGGUUAAUCAAGAGACUGAAGGAUAAUUCCAUUCUAAUCUAGUGACACACUAUGGCUCAGGAUUGGGACUAUUCCAUGAGGUAACAGCUGAGGGCAUUUCCUGCUCUUACCUGAGGCCCCUGCUCAGUUUUAAAGUCGAAAGGGUUUCCGACCACCCUGGCCUUGGCCUUCUCAACACUCCUCUCCACAAACUCAUUGUAAAUGUCCUCCUGGACGUACGUGCGGGACCCGGCACAGCAGCACUGCCCUUGGUUGAAGAACAGGGCGAAGUGGGCUUGAUCCACUGCCCAGUCCACUAAGAGUGGGGAGAGGAGAGAAAACAAAUCAGCAAAUAAACCCAACCAGAGUCAGAAGGUGACUUCUUCAGAACAAUUAUCACAGAGACUGAUGGGGGUAAAACGUCCUGUCAGUUGGCAGCGUUUUCCAUGCUUUGGUGUGGCAGAAGUUACAUACAUAUUUCAUUCAUAUGAGGGUCUAUUAAGGCACCCCAUACUAGACAAAAAUACCUAAUCUGAGGCAAAUUACAGUCCUAAUUUGAAUUUAUCAGGUAUUAAGGACAAAUUUUUUUAGAUCCAGAAGAAUUUCCUUCCUCGCUGCCAUAUAAAAGCACAUUUGUUGGUUCAUCAAGACCAAAAAUGAGACUGUAUGCAAGGGAAGAGGGAACCAGGACUUCUUAAGUGUAGGGAAGAGUGGUGUGCUCCAAGAGAAACAGAAAUUAAACCAAAAAUGGAGCAAAGACCAGGGGAAGAUACUGAAAUGACAGGUUGUUGACAACUGAACUUCACAGCACUGGGAA